CAAAUCCUGCGAUGUACGUUUACGGUUGCUCGUUGUUUUGAACCAAUGAUAAUGUCUUGGGAGAUCUAUACGAAGCGCGGCUGAAAGGCCCUGUCUAUACGACGCGGGGAAUUCAAAAACGACUUCUGCGGUCACCCACCUGCUAUAGCAGGUUCAGAAGACACUGUAGCCGGACGGCAUAGGCGGGUUUUCU
Molecule: non-coding RNA, 193 nt
Organism: Paenibacillus sp. FSL H7-0357
Lineage: Bacteria; Bacillati; Bacillota; Bacilli; Caryophanales; Paenibacillaceae
Rfam family: 6S / SsrS RNA
About the family: E. coli 6S RNA was the first non coding RNA to be sequenced, but its function was unknown until recently. It consists of 184 nucleotides that fold into an extended hairpin structure with a large single-stranded internal bulge. The 6S RNA specifically associates with RNA polymerase holoenzyme containing the sigma70 specificity factor.
Source: Rfam